GGCAACAUGCCCGAGUGGUUAAGGGGACAGACUUGAAAUCUGUUGACUUCGGUCGCGUAGGUUCGAACCCUGCUGUUGUCG
RNAcentral lists this transfer RNA (81 nucleotides) under Colletotrichum graminicola M1.001. Its description in RNAcentral is "tRNA-Ser (TGA) (tRNA-Ser-TGA-2-1)". It matches the Rfam family "tRNA". From Rfam's summary of the family: Transfer RNA (tRNA) molecules are approximately 80 nucleotides in length. Their secondary structure includes four short double-helical elements and three loops (D, anti-codon, and T loops). Further hydrogen bonds mediate the characteristic L-shaped molecular structure. tRNAs have two regions of fundamental functional importance: the anti-codon, which is responsible for specific mRNA codon recognition, and the 3' end, to which the tRNAs corresponding amino acid is attached (by aminoacyl-tRNA synthetases). tRNAs cope with the degeneracy of the genetic code in two manners: having more than one tRNA (with a specific anti-codon) for a particular amino acid; and 'wobble' base-pairing, i.e. permitting non-standard base-pairing at the 3rd anti-codon position. Lineage: Eukaryota; Fungi; Ascomycota; Sordariomycetes; Glomerellales; Glomerellaceae. The record is from RNAcentral.